Long non-coding RNA from Gallus gallus (chicken), 1663 nucleotides. Lineage: Eukaryota; Metazoa; Chordata; Aves; Galliformes; Phasianidae. The record is from Ensembl.
GGACUUUGUUGGCAUAACAAAAUAAUCCUCAGGAAACCUGUGACUUUCUGUAACAGUAUUUAAUAUGCACAGAUUCAAACAAAUGCCACAAUGAUGUACUUUUAUGGACAAGUAUUAUAUAUUAAGCCCUGAUUUAUACAUCUGUGUGUAAUACGCUGGGCUCUGAAGAGAGCCUUUAAUCUCUGUGAUGAGGCAGCACACACACUGAAACACUGAGUGUACCCGCACAGAAGCGAUGCACCGAGUGCGGCAUCCAUCAGAGUAAAUACACAAUGCCGUCCUUCUGUAACGUGUGCAGUUUGGACGUGGGACUGACAUCAGGAAUUGCAUCGCCUGCAGCGCUUGUGCAGCCUCUGCUGCCUGUCCCCACUGUGGAAGAAGUCCCUGGAUGGAGGCUGCGGCCAGGCUCGUGAGGGAGGCAGACCGUGGUGCCUGCGGGAAGAACUGGGAGCGGACAGAAGCACUCUGGCAGACACCCCACCAAUAGAUACCACGGGGUGCAGAGCCGAACGGGGCCAGGAACAAAAGCUGCCUUUUGUUUUGGAUCUAGACCAAACUGUGGUUUUGGAGGGCACGCAUACAGAGUUCAGCGGUCUACGGCACAAAAAGUGAUGUCUGCAAUACCUAGGCAUUCGGCUUCCCACAGCAUCGAGGGAAGUCCCGGAAUACCUACCUAUAGGCCAGGUUAUUUACUUCCUCAAGUACCAGACUUCAACCACAGGAGCAGUGCAAGGCAAGGCAGAAGAUCAUCUUCUCCCACACGGAUUUCCCCAUCAAGGUCCUUACUAAAUGCGCUCCUAGGAUGAAGGGAGGGAACCCACGAACACAUAGCAUCCAGCAUGACUUGUUUUCCAUCUGGCAGAUCAACCAGCAGAAACCAGUCUGGGACCAGGUUCAGGGGACUGCCCUUCGCUUGCAGUCGGUUUCAGAGCUGCCUCAGUGAUGGGCUAAUGAGGUUCACCCACUGCCAGGCACCUCCCUGCGACUGAGAGCCACUGUACUGCAAAGCAAAGAGAACAACUUUGAUACUCUCUGGAGGUGAGACGGCAAGUGCAGCUGCGAGGCUCAAAAAGAAAGCACCAGAAAGCAGAGUACGAGCUACUGCUUGUCAUAUAGCAGAGGCAAACGUGAGCACAACCAAAACAACAGAGUGAUCACAACAGCGUUAUCCGAUUAGCAGCACCUGCAACCAACAGAAACAGAUCUUCAAAUGGAGCUGUCAGCCGCCGUUGCAACACCAAGUGUGCUACAACACACUGAGUGGGAAUAAGGAGCAGUGGUGUAAGAGGUGCAAUUGCAAGAGCACUGAAGGGACACUUGGCAGCGCUUGCGUGCCUGAAAUUAGAUCUGCCCAUCUCGUGCAUGGGUGCGUGGGGGGUGCCAGGUGGGAUUACAAUGAGGCUCUGCUUUCCCGUGAGGCAAAAAAUGUAUUCAAGUUCAGCCAAGAUAUAUGGGUUUAUAUACAAUGAUAUUAUUACUGUUGUUAUUGUGAUACAUGGCAUAAUAACUGCCUUUUACACACAUACCCAGACACGUGUACCGCCAUGCACUUAUUUUCUUUGUUACGAAAAAUAUUCAGCAUAUUGAAAUGUCACCAAAGUAUAGUUUAUCUGAUCGUAUUUCUUCCAUGAAGGGUAAGUGGUAAAAAUAAAGAGUAUUGAUA